RNAcentral lists this microRNA precursor (56 nucleotides) under Heligmosomoides polygyrus. RNAcentral's name for it is "microRNA hpo-mir-59 precursor". Its record names the gene hpo-mir-59. Lineage: Eukaryota; Metazoa; Nematoda; Chromadorea; Rhabditida; Heligmosomidae. The record is from miRBase by way of RNAcentral.
UCGUCAAGAGGUCGAUACGGAACUGACUGGCUUUCGAAUCGUCACUCUUGAUGCUC